AAAUUCUUUGCCUGUUCCUAGAAGGGUACGGUACAUGUAUUCCUGUCAAAUAAAGGGUAAGGGGAGGGUAUCCCGGUUUCUGCCGGUUGCUUUCAUCCCCUUCAACACUCGCCAUUCCUGGGCUAGUGCUUGCUCAUCUCCGGCGCUGCAGCUGCCUCCUUUCCUCGUCUCAGCGUCGUCGCCCUUCAUGCUCAGAUCUGUGCAAGCGCACAGGACUCUGAGUAGCACAGACCUCAC
RNAcentral lists this long non-coding RNA (237 nucleotides) under Setaria italica (foxtail millet). RNAcentral describes it as "long non-coding RNA (SITA_LNC001034)". The record is from RNAcentral. Lineage: Eukaryota; Viridiplantae; Streptophyta; Magnoliopsida; Poales; Poaceae.